GGUGCCGUGGGAAUUCAGGACUGUUACCUUGAAAAAUUAGAGUGUUUAAAGCAGGCGCACGCUUGAAUACAUUAGCAUGGAAUAAUGAAUAGGACGUUUGAUUCUAUUUUGUUAGGUUUCUAGGAUCGACGUAAUGAUUAAUAGGGAUAGUUGGGGGCAUUAGUAUUCAAUUGUCAGAGGUGAGAUUCUUGGAUUUAUUGAAGACUAACUACUGCGAAAGCAUUUGCCAAGGAUGUUUUCAUUAAUCAAGAACGAAAGUUAGGGGAUCGAAGACGAUCAGAUACCGUCGUAGUCUUAACCAUAAACUAUGCCGACUAGGGAUCGGAUGAUGUUAAUUUUUUUAAUGACUCAUUCGGCGCCUUACG
This 365-nucleotide ribosomal RNA is filed under the name uncultured Glomus. RNAcentral describes it as "SSU rRNA". It matches the Rfam family "Eukaryotic small subunit ribosomal RNA", at positions 729 to 1092 of the family's 1831-position model. Lineage: Eukaryota; Fungi; Glomeromycota; Glomeromycetes; Glomerales; Glomeraceae. The record is from RNAcentral.